UACGUAGGGAGCAAGCGUUGUCCGGAAUCAUUGGGCGUAAAGAGCUCGUAGGCGGCCUGUCGCGUCGGAUGUGAAAGCCCGGGGCUUAACCCCGGGUCUGCAUUCGAUACGGGCAGGCUAGAGUGUGGUAGGGGAGAUCGGAAUUCCUGGUGUAGCGGUGAAAUGCGCAGAUAUCAGGAGGAACACCGGUGGCGAAGGCGGAUCUCUGGGCCAUUACUGACGCUGAGGAGCGAAAGCGUGGGGAGCGAACAGG
Molecule: ribosomal RNA, 253 nt
Filed under: uncultured bacterium
Lineage: Bacteria
Description: partial 16S ribosomal RNA
Rfam family: Bacterial small subunit ribosomal RNA
Source: RNAcentral